AUAUGUAUUCAAUUCCUACCACCGUAGUGGAAGAGAGGCUAUCCCUAUCUUUACAACUGAUAGCAUUUCCAACAGUAAGCUGUGAGAUUCUGCUUGAAAUCACCUCUCAAACAAAUAAAAAACAGACCUGGGAGACACGCUACACUCAUUCUGCUGAAGAAAUAGGCAUUCAUACUUGGGGAAACAGGGAUUUCACAGACCCAGGCUUGUUCCCUACAUAAUGUUUCCUCCUCCGACAUCAGUUCAUCAGUCAAUCAAGUCAUGUGAGAGUGGAGGCCUUGUAUUCCCUAUUAUUCUUGGGCACUCUCCUCCAAGGAGGGAAAGGCCAGGAGGUCCUUUUAGAGGAUGCACUCUGAGAGCCCGGGCUCCCUAAGGUAUGAGAGUUCUAACCAGCAGGUUAGACUUUUCAGGAGUGAGGAAUGAGGCAGGCAUUCCAAACCGGUACCUUCAUUACCUUUUGUUUCAUCUCAAGACAAUUCUGAGGGGCUGUUUUGGAGCGUGUCUGGAAGGUGAACGUUGAAGAAGAGUGUGGGCUUUGAUAUGACUCAGUUGAGAUCUUUCAUGGGGAGGCAGGAAUUCAAUGCCCAGAAUCUGGGCUGGUGUCUUUGAGGUCAGUAGGUUGCAUCUUUUUAUCCAAGUCCGUUGUUACUAGGUUGGAGGCUGGAGAUUCUAAAUGGCUUCCAGACUGCCUCUCUGAUUCUCUUUGGGAGAUGUGGUCUGAAAGACAAUGUCAGUAUUUUUGGGAAAUUCUAGAAAGUCUGCUUGGAAACGUGGGAAGAGCUCUUGCCUAGUGCCUAAAUGCUCCAUUUGCAGCUCUAGCCAAGUAGAUACUUGGUAGGUAUAGAGCCGGGUUUGCAUUUAUAUCAGCAAAACCUAUGUCAGAGUUGAAGAAGUAGUCAGGAAAAAGUGUAUUGGUCACAGGCCGGGAACAUCUUAA
RNAcentral lists this long non-coding RNA (937 nucleotides) under Pan troglodytes (chimpanzee). Its description in RNAcentral is "lincRNA". The record is from RNAcentral. Lineage: Eukaryota; Metazoa; Chordata; Mammalia; Primates; Hominidae.